GAUGAAGAACGUAGCGAAAUGCGAUAAGUAAUGUGAAUCGCAGAAUUCAGUGAAUCAUCGAAUCUUUGAACGCACAUUGCGCCCCCUGGUAUUCCGGGGGGCAUGCCUGUUCGAGCGUCAUUUCAACCCUCAAGCUCUGCUUGGUAUUGGGCGUCGCCGGGGAGUCUCCCCGGCGUGCCUCAAAGCCAUCGGCGGUGGUGCCUUUCUCUAAGCGUGGUAGAAUUUUUAUUCGCUUCUGAGUUGGGCUUCGCCUGCCGGACAAACCGGGCCCUCGCGGCCCACCUUCUCAGGUUGACCUCGGAUCAGGUAGGGAUACCCGCUGAACUUAAGCAUAUCAAUAAGCGGAGGA
Molecule: unclassified non-coding RNA, 349 nt
Filed under: soil metagenome
Description: partial contains 5.8S ribosomal RNA, internal transcribed spacer 2, and large subunit ribosomal RNA
Rfam family: 5.8S ribosomal RNA (bases 1-120)
Source: RNAcentral